Molecule: long non-coding RNA, 73 nt
Filed under: Sarcophilus harrisii (Tasmanian devil)
Lineage: Eukaryota; Metazoa; Chordata; Mammalia; Dasyuromorphia; Dasyuridae
Description: lncRNA (ENSSHAG00000024163.1)
Source: RNAcentral
UUUGCAGCAUCUUUUGUCAAUUUUCCCUUUGUAGCAUUUCUAGCCCAUCUGCAACAUCUCUGAUUAAUUUUUG